AGGACAUCCUCCUAGGGACAAGGAAAACUAUUUCUAUUAAGAAAUGAAUUCAAUUUCUUAUCAAGAAAUCUACUCUAUCUUCUGUUAUUUCAGGGCAAUCUGGCAUGCAAAUAGAACUAACCUUUAUGUUAGCAUAACUACAAAAUUCUGUUAGGCAGUGUAAGUCUGUAGGGCAUUUUAUAAAUAGAAGAUAGAGUAGGUUUCUUGGUCCAAGAAGGAAA
RNAcentral lists this unclassified non-coding RNA (221 nucleotides) under Hevea brasiliensis (rubber tree). The record is from RNAcentral. Lineage: Eukaryota; Viridiplantae; Streptophyta; Magnoliopsida; Malpighiales; Euphorbiaceae.